Molecule: ribosomal RNA, 253 nt
Filed under: uncultured bacterium
Lineage: Bacteria
Description: partial 16S ribosomal RNA
Rfam family: Bacterial small subunit ribosomal RNA
Source: RNAcentral
GACAGAGGGUGCAAGCGUUACCCGGAAUUAUUGGGCGUAAAGCGUCCGCAGGUGGCUUAUUAAGUCGGGUGUUAAAUCUUGAAGCUCAACUUCAAGACUAUGCUCGAAACUAAUAUGCUAGAGGCUUUUAGAGGUACGUGGAAUUCUGUGUGUAGGGGUAAAAUCCGUAGAUACACAGAGGAACACCAAAAGCGAAGGCAGCGUACUGGAAAAGUCCUGACACUCAUGGACGAAAGCGUGGGGAGCGAACGGG